AUGGCGAACGGCACGCACAACAACGGUCGCGGCGAAGGGGAACGAGACAAACCGCCUGCCGACGAAGCUGCGCUCUCCGCGAGGCUCGACCGUCUGAAGAAUCGGCUUUCCGAAGUCCGGAAUAACCGCAAAAACCAGACAGAUCAGUCAGGAAGCGGGGCAGCCUCCGCCAACGCAUCCGCGAUGGCACGGGGUUUUCGCCUCUCCUCCGAAUUGAUUGCAGGCGUCCUUGUCGGAGCGGUCAUUGGCUGGGGCAUCGACCGUCUCUUGUCGACUUCCCCCUGGGGUC
This 289-nucleotide unclassified non-coding RNA is filed under the name Hevea brasiliensis (rubber tree). The record is from RNAcentral. Lineage: Eukaryota; Viridiplantae; Streptophyta; Magnoliopsida; Malpighiales; Euphorbiaceae.